AGCGAACGCUGGCGGCAGGCCUAACACAUGCAAGUCGAACGAACUCUUCGGAGUUAGUGGCGGACGGGUUAGUAACACGUGGGAACGUGCCCUUUUGUACGGAAUAACUCAGGGAAACUUGAGCUAAUACCGUAUGUGCCCUUCGGGGGAAAGAUUUAUCGCCAUUGGAGCGGCCCGCGUCUGAUUAGCUAGUUGUUGAGGUAAAGGCUCACCAAGGCUACGAUCAGUAGCUGGUCUGAGAGGAUGAUCAGCCACAUUGGGACUGAGACACGGCCCAAACUCCUACGGGAGGCAGCAGUGGGGAAUCUUGCGCAAUGGGCGAAAGCCUGACGCAGCCAUGCCGCGUGAAUGAUGAAGGUCUUAGGAUUGUAAAAUUCUUUCACCGGGGACGAUAAUGACGGUACCCGGAGAAGAAGCCCCGGCUAACUUCGUG
Molecule: ribosomal RNA, 433 nt
Filed under: uncultured bacterium
Lineage: Bacteria
Description: partial 16S ribosomal RNA
Rfam family: Bacterial small subunit ribosomal RNA
Source: RNAcentral